This 253-nucleotide ribosomal RNA is filed under the name uncultured bacterium. RNAcentral's name for it is "partial 16S ribosomal RNA". It matches the Rfam family "Bacterial small subunit ribosomal RNA", at positions 524 to 776 of the family's 1533-position model. The record is from RNAcentral.
UACGAAGGGGGCUAGCGUUGUUCGGACUUACUGGGCGUAAAGCGCACGUAGGCGGAUCGUUAAGUCGGGGGUGAAAUCCUGGAGCUCAACUCCAGAACUGCCUUCGAUACUGGCGAUCUUGAGUCCGGAAGAGGUGAGUGGAACUCCUAGUGUAGAGGUGGAAUUCGUAGAUAUUAGGAAGAACACCAGUGGCGAAGGCGGCUCACUGGUCCGGUACUGACGCUGAGGUGCGAAAGCGUGGGGAGCAAACAGG